This 460-nucleotide ribosomal RNA is filed under the name uncultured bacterium. Its description in RNAcentral is "partial 16S ribosomal RNA". It matches the Rfam family "Bacterial small subunit ribosomal RNA", at positions 338 to 795 of the family's 1533-position model. The record is from RNAcentral.
CCUACGUGAGACAGCAGUGAGGAAUAUUGGUCAAGGGGCGCGAGCCUGAACCAGCCAAGUAGCGUGAAGGAUGACUGCCCUACGGGUUGUAAACUUCUUUUAUAAAGGAAUAAAGUGAGUCACGUGUGCCUUUUUGUAUGUACUUUAUGAAUAAGGAUCGGCUAACUCCGUGCCAGCAGCCGCGGUGAUACGGAGGAUCCGAGCGUUAUCCGGAUUUAUUGGGGUUAAAGGGAGCGUAGAUGGGUUGUUAAGUCAGUUGUGAAAGUUUGCGGCUCAACCGUAAAAUUGCAAUUGAUACUGGCAGCCUUGAGUACAGUUGAGGUAGGCGGAAUUCGUGGUGUAGCGGUGAAAUGCUUAGAUAUCACGAAGAACUCCGAUUGCGAAGGCAGCUUACUAAACUGCCACUGACAUUGAUGCUCGAAAGUGUGGGUAUCAAACAGGAUUAGAUACCCGAGUAGUC